This is a non-coding RNA of Biomphalaria pfeifferi, 585 nucleotides long. The record is from the annotation of a GenBank genome assembly. NCBI's taxonomy places the organism in Eukaryota, Metazoa, Mollusca, Gastropoda, Planorbidae.
CAAAAACUAAGGCAGAGAGAUGAUGUAAAGCCAAGUGAAUUGUGCUUUAGGACAACUAGAAUUGUAAUUUGAGAUAAAGUUGAGUUAGUAGGAUCUGGAAGAAGCUAUUAGUCAUAUACAAGAAGAAAGUAUUGGUUUUAAAUGAGUAAUUAAUACCAAAUGGAGAAAGUGGUCAGUGAUUUGAUAUGCAAGUAUAGUAAGCCAUGGUUUAAUAUCUUUGUUUCAUGCUUAAGGCAUGAUUCUCUUUAUGUCCAAAAAAAUACGCAAAGAAAACCUCAUUAAUAUUGCUUUAUUAAAUCAAAAUUACUUGGAAGAGUUCCUGAUUAUUCACUGAUGUGGAUCUAUUAAUCAGGUGUUUGAACACUGUCAAGGAAAUCAUUUACUUAUGUUUCUCUUUUUAUCUGAAUAAUGCUACUUUUUGGAGGCAAAGCACUUGGUUUCCCACCCAAGGGUCCCUGGUUCAAAUCUUGGUGAAGACUGGGAUUUUAAAUUUCAGGAUCUCUGAGUCCAGCCAGCUCUAAUGGGUACCUGACAAUAGUUGUGAAAAAGUUAAGUCGGUUAGUCAUUGUGCUGGCUACAUGACAC